CUGGCUCAGGAUGAACGCUGGCGGCGUGCCUAACACAUGCAAGUCGAGCGGAGUUAGAAGAAGAAGCUUGCUUCAUUUCUAACUUAGCGGCGGACGGGUGAGUAACACGUGAGUAACCUGCCCUCGAGUGGGGAAUAACACCGAGAAAUCGGUGCUAAUACCGCAUAAUGUCAUGAGACCGCAUGAUCUUAUGACCAAAGGAUUUAUUCGCUUAAGGAUGGACUCACGUCCGAUUAGUUAGUUGGUGAGGUAACGGCCCACCAAGACAUCGAUCGGUAGCCGAACUGAGAGGUUGAUCGGCCACAUUGGGACUGAGACACGGCCCAGACUCCUACGGGAGGCAGCAGUGGGGAAUAUUGGGCAAUGGGCGAAAGCCUGACCCAAGCAACGCCGCGUGAAGGAUGAAGGUCUUCGGAUUGUAAACUUCUUUGAUCAGGGACGAAACAAAUGACGGUACCUGAAGAACAAGCCACGGCUAACUACGUGCCAGCCGCAGC
RNAcentral lists this ribosomal RNA (497 nucleotides) under uncultured bacterium. RNAcentral's name for it is "bacterial SSU rRNA". It matches the Rfam family "Bacterial small subunit ribosomal RNA", at positions 19 to 518 of the family's 1533-position model. The record is from RNAcentral.